RNAcentral lists this ribosomal RNA (508 nucleotides) under uncultured glomeraceous AM fungus. Its description in RNAcentral is "SSU rRNA". It matches the Rfam family "Eukaryotic small subunit ribosomal RNA", at positions 569 to 1078 of the family's 1831-position model. The record is from RNAcentral. Lineage: Eukaryota; Fungi; Glomeromycota; Glomeromycetes; Glomerales; Glomeraceae.
AGCAGCCGCGGUAAUUCCAGCUCCAAUAGCGUAUAUUAAAGUUGUUGCAGUUAAAAAGCUCGUAGUUGAAUUUCGGGGUUAGUAGGUUGGUCAUGCCUCUGGUAUGUACUGGUCUCACUGAUUCCUCCUUCCUGAUGAACCUUAAUGCCAUUAAUUUGGUGUUUUGGGGAAUUUGGACUGUUACUUUGAAAAAAUUAGAGUGUUUAAAGCAAGCUAACGCUUGAAUACAUUAGCAUGGAAUAAUGAAAUAGGACGUUCGAUCCUAUUUUGUUGGUUUCUAGGAUUGACGCAAUGAUUAAUAGGGAUAGUUGGGGGCAUUAGUAUUCAAUUGCCAGAGGUGAGAUUCUUGGAUUUAUUGAAGACUAACUACUGCGAAAGCAUUUGCCAAGGAUGUUUUCAUUAAUCAAGAACGAAAGUUAGGGGAUCGAAGACGAUCAGGUACCGUCGUAGUCUUAACCAUGAACUAUGCCGACUAGGGAUCGGAUGAUGUUAAUUUUUUAAUGACUCA